This 15242-nucleotide long non-coding RNA is filed under the name Selaginella moellendorffii. RNAcentral describes it as "long non-coding RNA (SMOE_LNC001385)". The record is from RNAcentral. Lineage: Eukaryota; Viridiplantae; Streptophyta; Lycopodiopsida; Selaginellales; Selaginellaceae.
CGCGAAAGUAGGAGACCCAGCACCGAAAGAAAGGAAAAACUUCGCGAUCAGUUACAACCGCAUCCCCUUAAGUCGUCUGCAAGCUCUGGACAAAUUCUGGGUGGUCUUGGCGGGAUUUGCAGCAUUUCCUUUCGCUCAUCCUGGCCGUCGAAUCCAUCCGACGGCAGCCAGCCGAGCACACUUGUCCUAUAGAGAAGGUGCUGUAAGGUUUUUUUUGUUUUUUUUUUUUGGUCCUUGUGAAUUUUAUUUUUUUUUUGUGUUUACGUGCUUGCUCUGCAGACAUGGUUGGUGCCAUUGCUGCCUAGCAAGUUGUUCGCCGGUCACCUCAAGAACAGGCUUUUGCUCGCUCCUUUUCUCGGCUCUUCCAACUUUUUUCUAAGUGGAAGAGCACUUUGAUCCGGAAGCGCCAGUAAUCUAAUCGCUAGCUCCAAUGCUGCCACGGAGUUUUCUAUCAAUCCAUCGCGAGAGGGGUGUGUUUGGCGCUUUCGAUAGCUCACGUCUGGCUAGCCAAGGAGCGCGAGUUUUUUUUGGAGAUCAUGGAUAGAAUUCACAAAGAGUGUUAUUUACCUGUGGAAUGGAGAGUACAAAUUUUUCUUUUCUUUACACGAGAGCGAGGAGGAGAAACACAAAUGCUGCACGCUCGAGAGAAUCGAGAGUGUUAUUUGGAGGGCGCUAUCCUCUGAUCGAGAGAACCAAGCGAUAGAACCAAAAAGAAAACGUUGGGAAGAACUACAACGAGAAAACGAGAAAAGGGGAAAAAACUGCUCACAACUUCCACAAACCUGGGGAAAAUGCUGCCUCGCCUACAAACAAUCUUAUGGAGGAAUCGAGAUCGCCAAAUGGAAGGAGGAGGAAGGAAUCCAGCGGAAAGAAAGAAAGAAGUCCAAGGAAGAACGACGAAGAACUCUUCUCCUCCCCGCUUUUGUGCUGCUGCUACUUAUACUAGACCAGUGAAAAAGAAUAAAAAUCCCUCCUUUCGCUCCAAUCCACCCCUCCCCAUUCCAUUUGGGCGAUUCCCUCUUCUCCCAUGCUCCAAUCUAGUAGGUCUUGUAUGGAUCCUCUGCGAGGAGCUGCCUGGUGGUGGCAUCCAUCUUCAAUCCCAGAUCCAUGACGUGCUGCUGCUCCGCGAGGGAGAGAUCAUCCAUCUCCAUCGCCGAAGACAUGGCCCCUGCUCCAAUUCGUGCUCCCUGCGCUGCCAUGGGCAUCGCCGCCGCGAUGACAAUGCCAAUCAGCAGCACCAGCGCUGAGAUCUUCCUGAGAAUCGCCUGCAAUGCCAUCGCGCCGAAGAGAUUUCGCUGCGGGCUGGAAAGAAAUUCUUCCCUCACUCUCUCGCACAGAGCUCUCUCUCUCUCUCCCUGGCGAAAUAGGGUAAGCCCAGGGCCGGGUAUUUAUCUUCUGCAAUUACUCCACGUCGAAGAAAUUACCCAGUCCCUCCCUGGGCCGGGGAUUUUCUUCACACACGCUGAGACACGCUCUUUGUUUUUACGUGGGGUAAGUCGCGAAGUCCCGCCAUUGGGCCAGCUGUCAAAGUCUCCUACUGUAACGUAGUUAUAUGUGUAACUACCAUUUUAGGUCAUCUUUUACGUUACAUUCUACGGAAUAUUUCCCUGCAUGACGACGGCUGAUCUCAGCCGUGGGUUCCUUAGCGUACGGCAGGCGUACGAAGGGGAUAUUCUUGGGGCAUAUGCUGAUCCCACGGCGGUCGCUGUGAUGGAGAUGGUUGUUGCGCCGGCUACGUGCCACGAUGGGAACGACGCAACAACGCAAAGUUUUAAUUUUUGUGCGACAACGCGUCUAUUUUUUUUUUUGGUACUUAGUUCUUUUCUAUUUGGAGUUCUUUUCUUUGGGUUUUUAUUCGCUACAACGUGUUUCCAAUGGGGACAGCAAUGCUUAACUUCAGUGUUUAUGGACGAGCUUGGGAAUUCUGUGUUGGCCUUUUCCUGGAGGGUUGGGCCUUGUCUAUAAUGAGUGAUUUCUUUGGUUGAGACGUGUGUUUGGAGACCUGGCGGUGGUACAAGGAACCCUAAAAAAUUCCUGGAUCUUGGAGCUUUCUAGAAACUUUUGGAUGGACCAAUUCAAAGCUCUCCCCUUUUCUUAAUUCGUAGAAACCCUAAUAGGAGGAACCCUAAAGCUAGCAUUUGCAUUUUUCCUAUCCUACAUUUGAUCAGGCUCUCUGCAGGGAAUGUCAUGAGCUACCAUCGAUCAAUCAACCCUCGGUCAGUACUGGAGGAACAUCCACUUCAAGAGAAUGCCUGUCGAAAAGCUCAAAGAACAACCAACCGAUCGAUCUCUCGAUCGCGAGAAAAGCGAGAAAAAGCUAACCUUCCCAGCGCGUCGCCUCGGAGCUCACCGCGAUCCCGGUCACCAGUCGCGCCGCCGCCGUGGCGCUGUGCUUGGGCACCAUGGACGAAAUCCCCCUGUGGAUCCUGGAAACAAAAUCUCCUUUGUGCUCGAUCGAUCGAAUCCAUGCACUGGAAAUUCACCUGAUCCUGGCGCUCGCCUGCCCCUCCGGCGAUGGGAUCGCGAUCGAUCGCCGCAGUGGCCGCGCGCCUGGAAUCCCGAGCUGGGGAAGCCUCCUCAAUUCUAGCCGCCUCAUCACUCUUGCCGCCAUCGCUUUUCUUCUAUAGAGCUUAUAAACCCUAGGGUUUUAGACUAGGGCUAUGGCAGCGGCCAAUGUAGGUCGCAUGGCGGGGCGCUUCGCCUUCCGCGCUCGCGCUGCCAGGCCGCAAUUCCAUCCCAGGUCCUCCGGCGCCCAACCGCAGUACCAGUUCCAUCGAUCGUUGCCUCGAUCGUUCGAAGAAGCUCGAAUCAAGACCAGGUAUACAUUUAUUUCUCUUCUGGCAUUCUUUCGAUCGAAUUGCCAGGCUUCGUCGGGAGCUCGUGUCGCUGUUUCCUUUGCACAAUGCCACGGCCUCGUCCAGGCUCGUCUCGCUGAUUUCCGGUGGAUCCAAGAGCCUAGAAUGUAAGGAAAAUUCUUUCUUUGUCUUUGUUUGCUAUGAAGCUUGCUUGCAUUGUUGUUUGUUUCUUCCCUUCGGAUCUGGGGGUGGUCUCUCGCGCUUUCUUGCGGCAUUUUUUUUUUUUUUUUUCAUGCGCGUUUUCGGGUUGCAGGCAUUUUCUUGAAGUGGGUGUCUCUCGAUAAUUUCAGGCCGCUGCUACAGUCGAGGGGACGAUGAUGGCUGAGUCUCUCAGAAUUUAGCACACUAUCCUUGGAGUCCAUCGUCCGUUGUCACAGAUGAAUCUGUGGCUUUAAUUUCCGUGUUUUUUCUUUCCUGUUCUUGUCUUCCCUGAGCUAUGAUCACCAGCUAGAGGUACCUGUAUCAACCCAGGUUUUCAGGCAAAACGAAUUUUUUCAUUUCGUCGAGCUUUUCUAGUGCCUUUGUAUUUCCCUGUUUCUGGAUGGUGGUUCAUGUGUUGUGUUUCUCUACCCAGGUUGGCUCCAGCACUGCCUAAGGUCUCCGAAAAGCGUAGCGUCAGAACCGUCACGAGAGCAGUGUUUUGAAGCAUCAAGGUUCUCUCUUCUUUUCAUUUCGUUGUUCUUUCGCUUCUUUUCCAUGGCAUGUUUUACUGGUCUCUUCCUGCCAGGUGAUGCUAUUGAAUUCUUGAGGUGCGUGGAUAGUCUUCUUUGCUUGUUGACAAGAUUGGCGAGAGUUUAUCAUCGCGAAUAACAAGAGCUUUUUCUUCAGUGUUAUCUCUCGGCCAGUCGGCAUUAAGUUCCCAGUCAGAAACGAUAAGAGAGGGUGUGGGGUUUAGACGUGUUUUGGCUAUGGCUGCGAGAUUGGUGGUAGCAGGGCGAGUAGCAGCUCCUCCCGCCCGACUACUUUCGCCCUCUCCUCGCGUCCAUCGAGCUACAUUCGUCACAACGUCCCGCUCUUCUGGUGGUUUUCAUUUGGAGCAGGAUGGAUUAUCCUCUUCCAGCUCACGGUCUUCUUGCUUUUCCUCCUUCCAGUUCCUGUUUCUCGGUCUCUCACGAAAAAGCUUGUUUGUCCUUCCAGGUCUGCUGUACCUUUGUCCCCUGUCCCCAAGAAACGUAAUGCUACGAGGAUUUCGCUGGGAGCAGCAGUGCUUCGCAACUUUCAAGGUUUUGCUCGCUGUAAAUGCCUCGGUGAGGCAUUUUAAAGAGUGUCUAGCUAAAAGUUCGAGUUUUUCUCCAGCAGGAUUCGAGCAUUUCAGCCGUCUCAAGGAUGAUGGGUGAUGUAGUAAGAUUGAUUCGUUUCUCAUUUACUCACUGUGUGCUCUUACAGUUGAGAAGAAGAACAAGAAGCUAUGGAGGAUGCCAAUCUCUUGACUUGUAGCACGGUCACGGUUUGACGAAAUUUGAGCUCUUUUUCUUUUUGUUCUACUGAGGGUUUGAUAGGGUUUUGUAGCUUAGGAAUGCAGAGGAUUUCCAGUCCAGACGUAAGGAGCUCCCAACAGCGCACGCUCGAGAGACUGGAAAAAGCCAAGAGGAUUUUCAUUCUGGUGUCCGAAUUGAAGGCUUGCAGCAGCUCUAAGGACUUGGACAGAGGUAGGAAAAUCCAUGCCCGAGCUGUAGCAACUGGAGAGAGCUCCAACAUCUACGCAGCGACAACUCUCAUCAACAUGUACUGCAAAUGUGGAAGCCUGGUGGACGCUCGCAGCGUGUUUGACAGAAUGCCACUUUGCAACGCCGUGGCAUGGACUGCUCUCAUGCUGGGUUAUGCGGAGAACAGCUUGGAGGAACAGGCCUUGGAACUCUUCUCCGCUAUGCAGUCGCGGACAUUUAGCUGCGUCCCUGACUCGCGCACCUUCGUGGUGGCUCUCAAGGCGUGUGUUGGACUGGCAACGAAGGAAGCUGUCCAGGACAUCAACGGGAAGCUUGUGAAGAUGAAGUCACUGGAGAAAGGAAUGGCUGUUCACCACCAAGCCGUAAGAGUAUUACAGGGAGCUUUAGCUAUAGCACAAGAUAUCUACCUGGGAAGUGCGCUCGUCAACUUUUACGCAAGAUGUGGGGACUUGAGCAGCGCUAGCAGAGUUUUCGACGAGAUGUCGAGCCGGAAUGCUGUCGCCUGGAACGCUCUGAUGCUCGGGUAUACGGAGAGUGGCGAUUCGGAGCGGGCUUUGGAGCUGCUGGAACGGAUGCUGGGCGAGGGUUGCACUCCCAACGCCAGGAACUUCGUGGCGGCGUUGAAGGCCUGCUCGAGUUUGGCCGGGGACGAGGCUGGCAGCAAAGUCGAUGGGAAACUCGUCAAGGUGGUGUGCUUGGAAAAAGGCGUGGCCGUGCACUCGCAGGCCGUCAAGUAUGGCUGCGAGGCGGACAUCUUCGUCGGGAGCACGCUGGUGGACGUCUACUCCAAGUGUGGAAGCCUCCUCGACUCUUGGAGAGCUUUCGAGCGAAUGCCGAGGCGGAACGCGGUGUCGUGGAACUCACUGAUGCUGGGGUAUGCCGAGAACGGGGAGCCGGAAGCAGCACUCGAUUUGUUUGUCCGCAUGGCCAACGAAGAAGACGAAGCUAGUCCAGACGAUCGAAGCUACGUUGCCGCGCUCAAAGCCUGCGUUAUUCUGGCAGCCAAGGAAGAGGAAGGCCGCGGAGAGAAGCUGGUGAAGGUGGCAGCGCUCGAGAAAGGGAUGGCUAUUCACGCUCGAGCUGCGAGUAAGCACUUCGAACGGGAUAUCUUCGUCGCCAACAUGCUCGUGGACAUGUACUUCAAGUGUGGAAGUAUGGCGGACGCUUCCCGAGUCUUCGGCAGGAUAGAGAAUCCGACAGUGGUUUCCUGGACGUCGUUGAUACUGGGAUACAUCGACAACGGCGAAGGAGCUCUGGCUCUCAGGCUCUUCGAUCAGAUGCAAGCUCGGGGUUGCCGGCCGAGUGCUCAGACUUUCGUGGCCGCGAUGAGAGCUUGCACUUGCGAGGCUUCGAAAGAAGGUGGCGAUGGGAAGCUUGUCAAGAAGAAACAGUGGCUGCAGCGCGGGAUGGCCGUCCACGAUCAGGCAGUAAAGCGGGGACUGGAAUCCAACAUCUUCGUGGCAAGCGCAGCGGUGGAUCUCUGCUCCAAGUGUGGCAGCAUGGACAACGCCCGGAAGAUCUUCGAGCAAAGUCCCUCGAGCCACGGUUUGGCCUCGUGGAACGCACUGAUGCUCGGCUACGUGGAGAACGGCGACGCAGCAUCGGCACUCGGCUUGUUCUCGCGGCUCCAGCGGCAGAAAAACUCGUGGAGCUCGUCACCCAACGCUAGAACUUACGCUGCUGCGCUCAAGGCCUGUGGAGCUCUCGGUCUUCUCAGCUCAACCAAGCUCGUCCACGCGGAGAUCUGCCGCUGCGGAGCCUCGUCCGACGCAGUGCUGGCCAACUCGCUCGUCGACGCCUACGGCAAGUGCGGCGGCCUCGACCACGCGCAGCAAGCUUUCGACUCCAUCGCCAGCCCGGACGCCAUCACCUGGAACGCGCUCAUCACGUCUUACAGCUCCCAGGGAGACACCAACCGAGUUUUCCAGCUCCUGGGCGAGAUGCUAGGCCGGGGAUGGGAGCCGAGCGCCGUGACUUACACCUCGCUGCUCAUCGCGUGUAGCCGCGGGGGUCUGGUGGAUCGGUGUUGGAAGUUCUUCCGGGAGAUGGAGUCCAAGCACGGGGUGGCUCCUCGCAUCGAGCACUACCACUGCGUGAUGGACACACUGGGGCGAGCCAACCGGGUGGAGGAGGCGGUGAGGCUGGCGGAGGAGAUGCCGUUUGAGCCGAGUGGAGUGACUUGGACGACGGUGUUGAGCGCUUGCGAGAGCGUGGAGGCCGGGAGGGGCGCGUUUGGAUCGUUGCUCGGGAUGGAGGAGGCGGACAGGAAGGCUGGCUGCGCUCUCAUGUCCAACUUGUGUAGUAGUAAAAUCUAAGUCACACGUCCUUUUAAAUAGCUGAUAACUAAAAGCUUUUCACUCUCUGAAGCUCGUAUCGUUUAAUGGUAGCAAUAUAAUAAUUUUUUUAAAUGUAGAAUUGUGUAGUUAUAAGAUUAAAAGAAGUGGUCUUCAUCCAGUUGGUAGAGGUACAAUCAGCAAAAACCAUGAGACCUAAAAUUUGAUAAAGCUCAUCACGGAUAUGUUAGUCCAGUAACUUCAAGACUUGGGCUUUUUCUUUGCAGGAGGUUCUUCUUCCACCAUCGUCUUCUUAGCAGCCUCAAUCCAUCGCAAGGCACCACCCGAGAGGCGCCAGUGGCGCUCGUGCUUCAAAAUCCACAGGACUCAAAUCCCAGGCCUUCCAAACGCCAUCUUCAUCGCCCGGGCUUCCAUCACCUCUGCCUCCAUCGCAUCCCUGUAGCUGUGGCCUCUGCGCCCCCUUUAAUGGUGCCAUGCAAGAGUUCGGCGUCCGCUCGCUUCAACACAGAGCUCACUCCUGGGAAAGAAGUUAUGCAGCACGGCUCCUUGUCCACGGGGGAGCACGGCAGCAAGAAGUACUGGAAUGAUCUGAGCAGCUUUGGCUUUUCUGUCUUCGUCUUAAAGUCCAGAGGAUCCCAGCACUAGAUGAAGUCGUGGCACGCAUCAGCGCAAAGUCGCAGCCCUCGUCCCUGGAUAUGUUUUUCAGAUUGUACCGUGGCUUGUCUGCCAUAUCGAAGUGCUCUGGUCGGACAAAAUCUCCAUUCAGGCACCGGGUACACGACUUGGUCACACGAGCAGAUGUAAGGAAGAAGUGGGGGCUGAGUGCUAUGCCACUGCCAAAGCUAACGAUCCCACUCUCAUGUGUUGCACGAAUGGCCUCCUUGAGUAUAGCUGGUUUUCCAUACACUGAGCUGCCCAAUCUGGGUGGAUCACCCGCUGGGAAGAUAACCGUGCCCGAUUCAAAGUCGACGCCCAGAAUUCUAUUGAACUUACCUUUCCUAGAUGGAUCUGUCUCCUUGACCGCUAAAGUUUCUAAAACCUUCUCUUGAAGUUUUGCCUGUUCUCGGCCAAUAGCCGAAUCUAUAGGUGCAUAGUAAAUAACAUAAGGCUCCCCACGAACAAGGCUCUUCCAUAACAAACCCUAGCAGGAAUUAGACCUUCCUUUUAUAGCUGUGUGCGGGUAAAGGUUUACCUCCUUAACCAGCCCAUUAUGAUAAACCUGAGACGAGAGUCGGCGUCGAAGUUUUGCAGGAGCUGGUCUUCCUGAGCUCUACGCGAUGGGGAUCCAGGUCCGCGCCGAGCUGCCAUGGAAGAAGUCGAAUAGAGGAGUGUGGAGUGCGUGUCCGAGCUUGUGCUGCUUCCGCCAGCUUCUCAUUUGAGAGAGCUUGAUUUAGCAUUCAUUCAGUCUAGUUGUCUCUGGCUUUUGAGGAGUUGAAUUUGAGGGCGCAAUAGUAAUAGGGGCUCGUUUGAAGAUUGUUCCACCUGAAGAAGACAAGGCAGCGGCAACUCCAGCACAAUAAUCUCUCGGAUCCUCUCUCCCGAAGGGCUUCAAGUGAAGAAGUGUGUUUCGUUCCAGGAAAACCAGACUUUCUUUUCCAGCUUUGGUUGACACGACCGAGGUGGCGGACACGAGCAACGUUUUUUAUAUGAAAAAAAUCAUACCAUUGAAGAAGGGAGAGAGAUUCGUCAGGACAUUCCCUUAAAGAGGAAGAAAAUUUCUCCUUAAUAAGGGUAGGAAUGGAACGCAGUAGGGUUUGCAAUGCGGGAGCCUUUCGGGUAUGUCUGUGAUCUGCCUUAUUAUGUAACUCCUAGUAUCCAGCAGAUGUGUCGAGAAGAACAAAAGCUCCUGAAAGAGGUUUCAGGAGAGGUAGCAGUGAAUCUAGGAAGGGAAAGUUUAGUAGAGUUUUGGCGGUUGACUAUGAAUCAGGCACUGUUAUUUUCCCGAAGGAUGAUCUUCUAGUUCUACAAGCCCAAGCUGGUCAGUAUAUGGAAGGAAUCCAACUAUACUCAAGGAAGCCAUUCGCGCAACACACAGGCUCCAAAGUGUGGAUGAGGGUAGGAUGGUUCACUUCGGCAGUGGCGUGGCGCUCAGCCCGCAGUUCCUCCUUACAUCUGCUCGUAUGGCCAAGUCGUCUACCCAGUGCCUGAAUGGCGAUUUUGUGCGAUCAGAGCACUUCGAUAUGGCAGAGAAGCCACGGUACAAUCUGGAAACUGUAUCCAGGGACGAAGGCUGUGAUAUGGUGCUGAUGCGUGUCAAGACUUCAAGCGCUGGCGCGACUCUAGAGAAGGCAAAGCUGCUCAAGUCUUUCCAGUACUUCCUGCUGCCAUGCUCCCCAGUGGACAAGGCGCCAUGCUGCAUAACUUCCUUCCCGGGUGUGAGCUCCCUGUUGAUGCGAGCGGACGCAGACCUCUUGCACGGCAUCAUUCAUGGAGGUACUGAGGCUAGUCUCGGGGGCAUUUACAGGGAUGCGAUGGAGGCAGAGGCGAUGCAAGUUCGAGCCAUGCAUCAGUACAAGCCAUAACGUUCGUAGAUCAUUACCAAAUCUCGUCAAGUUCCACUGAUUCGAGGCCGGGAUGCGACGCACUUGAUUUUCUUGGGACGGUAACUCAUUCUUUUGUCUUUGCUGUUCUUUGUCCGUAUCAGUCAGUGAGUGACGCAAGACCAGAAAUCUGGCGAAAGCCACGGUAUGCCCCAUCGGGCGCCACGGAGACCAUAAAAUCUUUUCUUCUUCUUCUUUGUCUCGUUUUUCUUUUUUUUACACUUAAACUUAUUCUUUGCAGGCUCCUUCCCGCGCUCUUUUACAACAACGUUUUGGCUAGCAUGCCCCACUGUAUAAAAAUCUGUAUGUUCGUGAUUGGACAUCUCCAGAUCGUGUAGAUGUAUGGCUCCUUGCCUAAGCUCAAUAUUGAGCUCAAUCGAAGCUAUUGUGGAGACAAUAUCCUGUCAAGAGAACAGUCUCUAUAACUUUUACCAGGCUUGGAACUUAAAGGAAGAGAGAAAAAGGUUUCCUGGGAUUUUAGAAUCUUUCACGUAUCAAUUAUCGCAGGAAAAUUUCUUUCGUUUAGUCAUGUAACAUGACUAAACCUCUGGGCUUUCCUCUCUAGUGAGAUUCAGGAAGAACGAUAACAGUGGCUUAUGUUCUUUCCUAGCAGGUUGUAGAUCAAACAGAUUCAAGUAGAGCAGUAGCCUCAAGGAGUCUUCAUUCGCAGCAAGCGUAUGUUUGAUUUUUCUUAGAAUAUUUCUCAUUGUGGCAUUUUUGGUCUAGAUAGUGGAUCUACGUAGAAAGCUUCAUCUCACAUUGCAAAUUGCAACAUCAAGUAACACCAUUUCGAUUUCCUUUUACCAUGCCAGUUGGUUUUCUGGUGUUCUUUUUCCAAUCACAGCAAACAAAAUGAAACAGAACGAAAGCUAGAGCUCCAUAAAAAAUCAAGCGUACUCGAUGCUAGCCCCCUUGAACGUGAAGACUUUCUCCUUGUCCUUCCCGCGCGGCACCAGAGUGACAACGAGCUUGUCCGCGUCCUUCAAGCCCAAGAUCUCGACGUUGGGCUUGAUGGAGAAGCGGGCGUUGGUGGUCCGAGUGCUCGACUCGGUCAUCCCGGGCAUGAAGUGGGGGAUGUUGUAGAAAGAGCCAACGUACUCGGCGCAGGAGAGCGUUGUGGUCUCGUUGGCCUCAGGGAGAUUGAUGAACACGUUGAAGUUAGUGUUAUUCUGCAUCCCAACCACCAUCUCUUCCAGGACCAGGAGCUCGUCCGAAGCGCUGCCUUUGGGCUGCGCCACCGUGAUCGUCAGCGGGCCCGCUCCAACCUUGACAGGCUCGGCGUUCUGGGACGAGGAUUUCACGAGUGGAUACUCAGCCGCCAUAGCAGUAGCUCCAGGAACCAACGAAGCAACGAUCGAACUCUUGGGCUGCGCGAAGGCCGUCUUUGCGAGCGGCAGUGGCUUGUAGUUGAUCCAGACCUUGUCCUGGGGCAUGGACGCGUACUUGUACUUGAGCUUCGUCUGGUUGUCGAUGGAAUCUUUCACCUUGACGCGAACGAGGUCCUGGUUCUCAUCGAAGAAGAGGAACUCGGUGUUGAGGUAGUCGGCGUCCGUGAAGUCCUGGUUUCCCAGGGACCUCCACACGUCCCACAUCCUGUCCACGUUACCGUGGUGGCAGUAGAAGAGUGGAUCCUUCCCGGCAGAGUAGAAGUUGCCCAGGUCCUCGCCAUUGGGGUUAUUGGGGCUGCCGCCAAAGAUGUGCACGGCCGUGUGUGGGGCUUUCUCCAGAGAUCCAUCGGCACCGUUAUUGUUCCCUUUCCUGCAUAAGACAUGGCUCCGUCACCUUUUUCUGGCCAUGCACACGUACCUUAUGGGAGCGCCGAAGAAGGCGUCCCGGAGCUUGACCUUAGCGACGUUGUUGUACAUGACGGAGAUGUUGUCCUGGCGGAUCUGAUCGUCGGUCUUGUAGGUGGGCUCGCCGAAGCUGGGGUCGACGCCGGGCGCGUAGCCGAGAUCCACUCGCGCGGGCGCGUAGUUUGCCUCGUUGCGAUUGGCGUCGAAGAUGGGGGUGCCCUCGCGCCGAAACAUCUCCGGGAUGUAGCUCCCCCCCUCCUGGUUGUCCCAGUUCCAAAACGGCAGCGCGAAGGUUGGAUCGUUGAUCAAGCUGCCCAGGAUCUUCUCGUGGUAGUAGAGGUACCAGCGGUGCCACGGCAGGAAGAGCCAGUUGAAGUGGAUCUGGAGCGUUGACUUUGGAUCGCCCUCCUGGCGGUAGCCGAAGUUGCAGUAGACGCAGUGGACGUUUGCCUGCUGCCGGAAGCUCCGGGGAUCAUCCGAGGGAAGCGCGCGCAUCUUGGCGUAGGCCUCGUUGUACUUCUGGAUGUAGUCCUCGUCCACGAGAUGGGCGGCGGGGCGGGUGCGCAUGGGGCCGGUGUCGGGCUUGAAGUCGAUGGUGUCGCGCUUGGGCUUGGGCGGGCAGCACGCCACGAAGGUGUUGGUGUUGGCGAUGUUGGCGGGCUGGCAGCGCUUGAAGGUGGGAGAUCCCACGGGCUCGGCGAGCGCGGGACCAGUAGGGGACGCUGCGAGCGAAGCUCCGCCGGCGAUUGUUCCCGCCAGGAGCUCGCGGCGAUCGAUGAUCGAGGCCGGAGUGGAGCUACCUUUCUUGGAGGGGAAAGAGGGAUUACCAGACUCCCCUGUUGCUGCAUUGGCUUCUUUCCUGGCAUUGGCGGUGAUCUUGAGCGUACCCCGGGAGCGAUUGGGCAGAAGUGGGCAUCGGCUCCGGUGCUGGAGCUUGACGCGAUCGAGCGAGAGUGCCGCGGAAGACAUGCCCAGCAGCGAAUCCAUGCUGGAUGAGAGAUUCCAAACCUCGACUGACGACGUCGUAGGAAGCGUACCUUUUUAAAGGACGAACAAGCUCACAUGACUCUCGUGGGAGUAGUGGCGAUAAUAUUUCAGACCAAAGUGAUCGGACUUUGAUCCACGAGAACCCCGUGUCUCUUAGAAUUCUUAUCAAAACUGCCACGUCAUUGCAGCCUUUAGUAGGGUUACCGUCUUUUCAGGAGACGAGCAAAGAUAUGCUUGAAACAGCAGUGAAUGAGGGGAAUUCGUAAUUGGCGUAAGUUUAUUUGAUAUCCAUCUGCACGGUAGCAUUUCCACGGUACGGCCCAGCUUGUUCUCUGAUUCCGUUCGCUUUGAACUGUAGUUGCCACUUUCUUGAACAAGCCAUGUAAAGCUUUUAGCAGAACAUCGCCACAAGGUAAACACUUAAAUUACCUUCGCCUUUGAUAGGCUAGGUUGUGUUCGAAGUGUUUUUUGAGCCGCUGCUCACCCACCUUUUAAACGGGUCGAUUGCCACAUUCAUGGAAAUCCGGACAUUAGUCGUCACCUUCGCCUACAACAUUCGAGGUACGUGCUGAAUGAAUCUCACGCUUGACUGUUCGAUUUGUGAGAGCUUAAGGAGCUCCGGGAAAGCACCAAAGGUACAAACAAGAGCCGAGGGGAGGGAGUUGGCCAGGCGUUUCCUAGGCUUGGGUUUCGUAGCAGUUUGAUCGAUCAUGUGGUGUAGCUCGCACCAGUGUCGUCAUGCAUAUACCACGCCCCGUUACUGUGGAUCAUAAAAGAAAGCUCGAACUAAAGAGAAGGAAAAACAGAGAACACGAACUCGAGUUGGCCGGGCGACGACUUCGUUCCUGCCACCUUAACGGAAAAGGGACGUCGAGGGGGCUAGGGCUUGAUCCAAGGUGACCACUCUGACCGUACGCCUGGAUCAUCGAGUUCCAGGACCUCUCGGCAUUCGAUCAAAUACUCUCCUAGCGUCCUCCAGGUGACCGCUCUCAGCGUACACUGCGAUCAUUGCGUUCCACGGGUUUGUGUAGCAGCCUUGCUUCUCGCUCCUCCCUGCUCCGACCAAAGAUCAUGGAGUUCCAAGACGUGACAUCCGCCAAAACGCCAGCUUGGCAUCGCUGAUAUGCCGGGCAUGGGCAUAUCCCGUCCAAGAGAUGAUAAUCUUCCAAGGCAUUUGAUCAGAAAUUCCCUUGGCUUCCUCCGCAGAUUGACACUGCACGCAAGCCAGAAUUGCUGCACCAAGUCCCGGCAAGGCACUUUUUCAAAGACCCUGAUACAAUCCUCUUGGUGCCCAGAUUGGGCAUAAGCUGCUGAUCUUGUGUUCCACGAUGUUAUAUCCCUUCUCGGAAUUUCUGGGAAGAGGCUCAAAGCUACCCCACAUGACCGUCUAUCCAUACGCUACUCGUAUGGUCGUCCUCGCCACGGCAUCCUUGUGAGAAAUCCAUCAAACAGCCUUCUCGCUAGAACCAUAUACCUGUUGUGGGAAUACGCUGCUACCAUGGUCGUCAAAGAAACGCCGUCUUUCGGUGGCAUCUGAUCGCAUCACAGCCUUGCAGUGUGAUACUAUCCAGCGGUGUAAUACGCGGUGAUAAUAGAUGCCCAUGAUGCCAAUCCCAAAACGGCAUUCUAUCAAAGAGCCACUGUGAUCGAUCGAUAUGCCGAAGCUGGGCAUUUUCUUAGACCAAAACGUUCCAGGAUACUUGAUCCUUCUCUAGAACAGCGAUGGCGUGCAAUAGUUCUUCUUCGCUUUCAGGAACUAUAGAGCGUCUUAUCGUGAUGUUUCUCCUCAAGAUCAUACAUUGCAACCAAUGAUGAUCCCACGCUCUGAGACGCGCUUGGCAUGGCCACCGGUAGAUCACCGGUUCCGGGACAAGAGCGCUGGAGAGCUCGCAUUGUAUGGCGGGAUUGCCGUUGUCGGGUUUGCGAUUGGAGGUAGUGUGCCGAGCUCGCUGGAAAUCUUGCUGCUGGUUCCCGAGGCGCUCCAGGCAAUAGGCAGUGGGCGUGGGCUACUCGAUCCUCAUCGCUGGUAAGCGAUCAUAUGAUCCAUCCCCCUAUUUUCCUCGCAUUUUUUCUUUUGAAUGUAAAGUUUUCUUUUCCUGAUAAUCCCUUUCGUUUCCCAGUUGUUUUUUUUUUCCAGCGAUGGUGGAGGGAGCACACUCGUGCGAAGCAAAAAAUCGUGCAUCGAAUGGUUGAGUGGAGCUAUACCAAAUGAUAAACUUGAGACGAGAGUCCCGAUCGCCAGCGUCAAAGUUUUGCUGGAAGAAGUUGAGGAGCGCGACGGUGAUGUUCGUGGCCGAGCUUGGCAUCGUCUUGUGCUGCUUCCGCUAGCUUCUCAUUCCGAAAGGAUCCGGAAAACUAGACUUUCCAGGCAUCUUUUCCAGCUUUGCUUGACACGAUCGGGGUGACAUACAAUCUCUGCCUUGGGAGCGGACACGAGCAAGGAUCGGUACGGUUUUUAUAUGCUAGGAAGGCGAAACGCCAUAGACUUUGUGAGUGAUUGUUGUCUCUUAACUCUCUUCUCACUCCAAGAACGCGAAAGUAGGGGAGCACCGAAAGAAAGAGGGGAAGAACCUCGCGAAUCGCUGAUCCUCCUUUGCAGCAUUCGUCCAUCCAUCCGACGGAGCGUUUCUUUUUGCGAUUUCUUUUAUUCUUUAUUUAUUUAUUUUUUGUUGCAGAGGCAUGGUUGCUGCCUAGCAAGUUGCUCGCCGGUCACCUCAAGAACAGGCUUUUGCUCGCUCCUUUUCUCGGCUCUUCCAACUUUAUUCUAAGUGGAAGAACUUCGUCUAUCCACUGAAUUUUACAUACAGAAGGGGUGAUUUGGCGCAUCUCUGAUCUUUGGAUCUUCAUACGAAUUCACAAGAAUGUUAUGGAAUAAAGAGUUCUUUUGAGUGAGGAGGAGAACACAGAAUCGGCACUAUAAACCUGGGGAAAAUGCUCAAAUAAUCUUAAGGCGGAAUCGAGAUAUCCAGGCGCUGAUCUAUGCCUCGAACACCGCCACGGUGAUCCUUGCCGUGUGCUUCUUCGGGAACUUUGUAGAGCGGUGACGUAAUGGCAAGCAGAUCCUUGUGUAAGCGAGUUGACGACGAUACUUGAUCUUCCUCUCUUU